GCCUUCGUGGUGUAGUGGUCAGCACGCUCGACGCGUAUUCGAGAGGUCCGUGGUUCGAGUCCCGGCAAAGGCU
This 73-nucleotide transfer RNA is filed under the name Stegodyphus mimosarum. It matches the Rfam family "tRNA". From Rfam's summary of the family: Transfer RNA (tRNA) molecules are approximately 80 nucleotides in length. Their secondary structure includes four short double-helical elements and three loops (D, anti-codon, and T loops). Lineage: Eukaryota; Metazoa; Arthropoda; Arachnida; Araneae; Eresidae. The record is from Rfam by way of RNAcentral.